Long non-coding RNA from Xenia sp. Carnegie-2017, 869 nucleotides. RefSeq lists it as uncharacterized. The transcript has 5 exons. NCBI's taxonomy places the organism in Eukaryota, Metazoa, Cnidaria, Anthozoa, Malacalcyonacea, Xeniidae. The record is from RefSeq and is a predicted model, not a curated record.
UAUAAAGACACAUUGUCUUUCAUCGAUGUCCUGUCAUCUUACGGAAGUUGAACGUAAAGAUUUGUGUUUUAAUGACAUGAAUGUAUGUUAGGUGAUUAUUUGUAAUUCGUAAGCUAGACUGGCAAGUACGAUUUCCAGUGGAAUCACUGAUUGUAACACGGAACUUUUUGGUACGUUUUGUUUUUAGAGUUUUUUUCAGCUAUGUCUCAACCUGCGAAUGUAAUUUUUGAAGAAGGCAAACACCGAUUGUGGUCCUACAACAGUAAUAAAGGAGGAAGUUGCCUUAGUUUAUCUGUGAAAAAGAAUGUUUCAUAGGUAAAGUUAAAGCGAAUGGAGAAUCUGAAGCUGAAGCACGGAUAAAGUUUGCAAAAGCUCAAGAUAGCACGAGGCAUUUUUCUACAACCUGCUGUUUGCAAAAAUGAAGAGACGUACUGUUUAGAUGAAAAGGAUGGCAAAAUUUUGCAGAGAAAAAGAGCUCAAGCUCGUUUUAUCUAUCUCCGAGAGAAUUAAGGACGCCAAAUAAUGGUUUUUUUGCGCUAAAAAAAUACAAAGAUCCAAACGAAGUUGGACCUGAUCUGUUCUUAUACAGUAAUGGCAAGGGGAAAUUGUCACUGGAGCCUUGGAAUGUCAAAGGAACUAGUCCUGCCAAUGAAUUGAUCCUUCAACUCGAUCCUGGUUUUAUGUUCCGCGCUGUAAAAGUUUUGGAGCAAUAAAUAGAUCAUUCAUCAUUACAAUGGAACAGUAUAAACUUUAAGACUUUGAAUUUUGUAUUAAGGUAGCUAGUUUUUAUAGGGUGUGAUUUAACAUGACGUCGAAGCAGCGGUUGGUUGCUUAAUUGAAAUAUAGGAAUAUCAAAAAAUGUUUGCAAA